Cydia pomonella (codling moth) is the source of this 4913-nucleotide long non-coding RNA. RefSeq lists it as uncharacterized. NCBI's taxonomy places the organism in Eukaryota, Metazoa, Arthropoda, Insecta, Lepidoptera, Tortricidae. The record is from RefSeq and is a predicted model, not a curated record. The transcript is spliced from 2 exons.
AAAUAUGCUUCCUAUAGUUAAGAUUUCCAUCACUUAGUCCGCAUAGAAGUCUUCCUAAACAAGACACUUUUUUAUAUAUAAUAUUGAAUGAAAUUACAGUGCAAUCUGUGCAUAGUAAUAAAAUGAAGUAUAAUAACUAAUAAAAUUACCAUCUUAAUGAUUACUGAGGUCAUGAUAAUGCAGGUCAAAGAGUCAGUUGCUUAUUAUAAUGUUUUCUAAAAAAGGUAUUUAAUAUGUAUAGUUUUGCUGUAGUGACCCACUAGGCUAAACCGGUCGUCGAACAUUUGAUUUGAUUUUAAUUUCUUAAUAAUAUUUAUGAAGUGAGUAAUCUAAGCUUUCUUAUUUCUCUUUGCUUAAACUAAGAUCAUGAAGAGUUUAUUGUGUCUUGUUAUUUUGUUGAGCUAAUGUCAGGCUAAGUAAAGUUUCUAAAAGUACUUUGCGAUACAAGUGCAAAAAGUAGGAAAUUACCUUUUUGCACGUACAUUGUACAUACAAAGUCUUACAGUACAUAUGGCCCUUUUCAAUAUACGCAUGUAUAGUGCUAGUUACUGCACUAGGGCGGUAAAGUAGCACAAUAUGUAUUGUAAUAGUACAUUACGAUACAAGUGCGAAAAAUUAGAUGUAAGUUUAUUUGCAAUGCCCUAACAGGGUGCCACGUGUUUUCACACUCUAAUAUAACAACUAUUAUGUACCAUGGUUUCGCAAUAAAGAUUUCUAUUUCUAUAAAAUAGGAAAUUUAUUUAUUUAAUUAAUUAUUUAAUUAAACCUUUGGGAAACAAACAUGCAAAAACAACACACAUAGUUAAUCAGAUUACACAUCCACAAGCCAAACAGUUUCCACUAAUGAGUAAUAACAAUUAUGUUGCUCAGAAAUUAACAUCAAUAUCAAAACAUGCAAAACUCAAAUAACUCUAACUGUUGAAAACAAUAUUAACAAAUUGGCAAGUAUGCUGAAAUAUAGUAACUAAUCAAUAUUAUUAUUAGCUGUACAUUUUAUUGCAGAAACAAACUGUUGUAAUGAUAAAUGGAAUAUAUCAAUAUCAGAAAAUUUUUCAUUAUAAGUUCUACACACUCUAGCUAAGAACUUAUUUCUUGCAUAUGUAGUACGACCAAAGUUAAUUGCAAAUAGGUUUGUGGAGCGAGUUCGCCGAUCAGGACAUCGAAUUGAAAUUUUAGACAAAAGAUUGGGAGAAUCAAUAAGGCCAUGUAUGAUUUUGAACAAAAAUAUCUGAUCUCGAAUUUCUCUACGGGUUUGAAGAGAGAAAUUGUCAGGGCAAAAAGAUUUAAAUUUAUAUUUCAUUGUUCUGAUAAAUUUGUUCUGAUUUUUUUCAAUUGUGUUAAUGUGAACAUUGAAAUGAGGAUUCCAGACCGUAGUAGCGUAAUCUAAAUUGGACCUAACAAAUGCGUUAAAGAGAAGUUGCAGAGUCUUAGGGUUUGUAAAAUCCCUGCUUUGUCAGAAAAUGAAUCCCAACAUUCUGUAUGCUUUUGCUGAAAUUUUGUCAAUAUGUGAAAUAAAUUGUAGUUCGCUAUCAAGAUUUAACCCCAGGUCCUUCACUUCAGACACAACCCUUAAAUUUUUGUUGUUUAAUGAAUAAUUUAUACUCUAUCUUAUUGCGUUUUCUUGUAAAUGUAAUGGCACAGCAUUUUUCGACAUUCAAGUACAGUUCAUUCAUAGAACAAUAUAAACUCAGUCUAUCAAGAUCAGCUUGAAGUUUCAUACAAUCAUCACUUGAUUUAAUAAUGGUGUAUAUUUUAGUAUCGUCGGCAUAUAAUAAUAAGUCAGAAAAUUUGAAACGAGUGGCGAUAAAUUUAAACACGACUGAAGGGAGUGUUUUAAAUUGACACGAGUUGCGAAUUACCUAUUCGCACAUGUAUCGUACAACGUUUUACAGUACAUAAGGUACCCUUUAAAUGUUGGACACAGUAACGUAAUAUGCUAAUUUUCGCACUAGUGCGGUAAAGUAGCACCAUAUGUACUGUAAAAACUGUUUUAAUACUAUUAAUAAGUAUAGUUAGUAUAUUAAUUUUGCCAUAAUCGCAUGCAGUUAUGACUAUGGGUAUAAAUAUUGUUGAAUUUAUAUAGCCGAGUCCACACAGAGCGACCGAGGAGGCGCGUGCGUUUUCCUUGCCCGAGCGCACGUCUACACUGGCCAGUUUGUGCGUGAGAAUAUUGCCUCACGCGUAUGCUCGCUCUGUGUGGACCCGGCUAAUCAUGUAUAAAUGGCAACAGAUUUUAUUCUCUAGGCGGGCACCUGCUCCCCGCUGGCGACACCCUUGCAGAAGCUAGCAUUUUCAGAUAUAUUUAGUUUUUAAGUUUUUGGUUUGGUUUAACCGGAAUUAUUUUUACCCGACUAUGAGAAUGGGAAGGGUUAUGAUUUUAGCAGUCUACGUAUGGAUGCCGUAUAGAUGCCGGUAUGUUUUUGUUGUGUAUAAAUUACUAAUCAAUUUUGGUGAAUGUGUUUAUAGGCUCAUUUUUAUGGGGUGACAUAGACUACAUAAUAAUAUUUAACUGACUUUGGACAAGGAAGAGGUGCUUUAGUUAAGAAAAAAAUCAUAGUCGGGUAAAAGUUUUUACAAUCUUUUGCUUGUUUUCAUUCUUAUAACAAAUAUUUUAAACUUGCAUGUGCUCAUUGCCUCUGAUUGACGACUACGUUGAGUUUUCGGGUGCUGGGAACAGUGUGGCUGGCAGCACGUUUUCUGCCACUGCUGAAAAUCUCGUUGUUGUUCCAACCACCGCCACCGUUUCUGCGGCCGUGCUCAGCGAACAACCACACUUCUCCACCUCUCAUUUGUCCUCGUCUCCCUCUCCUUCUGCCAGCCCUAUACGCUCCACGCAUUCAGUACUGCCCACAAGUCCUGGACUACCCGAACGUCCCUCUCUUGCCGCCCUUUCCGCCCGCUAUGCCCGUCCCGCCCUUCUCGCUCGUUCCGCAAUAACCGCCCAACCCGCACGUCUUGUCCUGCCUGCACGUCAAGUACACAGCUCUGUGUACGUGGAUCCGCGCCCUGCACGCGUACAUCCAUACCCCACGCUACUGCGACCACAACCCCGCAACCGCACAACGGAACCGGCACCUUCGACAGCACAAUUUAAUCAUCUGCAGCAUGAGCAUGAUAAUAUUUUAAGAGUAACUAAUUUAUUUAUGAACUAAUAAUUCUAUGUUUUAAGAUCAGGUGGAGUACGAGAAACAUUGUUUAUUUAACUUGGGACAAGAAAAACAUUAGACUCUGACCACCACGCUAACUUUGCACAAACUUGGCAGUAAGAAUGCAUACAUAAAGCCUGUAAGCUCCAUACUUGACGUACCAUUCCCUACAAGUGUUUCUCUUGCCUCCAUAUUUCGCUUACCCCAUCUGACCGUAUUUGUAUUGAUAAAACAUACAAAUAAUAAAUAUAUAUAUACGCGAGCAAUCGCAAAAUCUACAUUUCGGGAUUUCUCGUAUCGUACAGUGCCGUUUAAAUAAAAUAACACCACCAACUACCGAUAAGAGGGUUAUUAUGAAACUUAUAAUUAACAUGCAUUUUAUUGAAAGGCUGGAAUUUUAUUUGUCUCGAAAUCUUGACCAUGGUCAUAUAUUUGACUGGACGGUUCACGGCAAUUUUAUUAUUACUAAUGUAUUUCAUAACACUAGACUUAUUCAAUCCUAAGUAACCUAUUAGCUUCUCAUUCGUGUGCGGUAUAUAUCAGCGUUUGGUAGUAUCAUAAUAGUAAAAUCUGUUGUUGGUUCAGUUGGUUGUUGUUAAUAGUCAAAUGUUCAUAUUUUGUGUGAGUCAGUUAUCAUAACAGAAAUAAGAUAUAAAGCUGUUAAUACCGUAAAUUGUGUAUGGAUAUGUUUGACUCAAAUUCUGUAUUCCCACAAUAAGUAUACGGGGAGCCCGUAAGAAAUCAGUGGUAUAUGAAGGCUUUCUUGUGCAACUUUAGUAUGAGCUGGGACAAGUAAAUGUAGUUAUGUAGAACAGAUAAUCUCCAUUGUGGUAGAUGGCGCUAUUUAUUAUUUGCUCUGUGAUACCACUUAGUUUCAACUUGCUAUAACAUAUUUUAUGUUGACAGGAUAUCCUGAACGAACUGAAAAUUUUUAAUGAGGCGCAGAAACAAAUAUUGAGUGUUUUGAAGGAGCGGAACGACUUGUUGGCGAAUCGUAUUAACACAUUGGAGGACGCCGAGAUUAUUGAGAACUUGGAAGACACAGUUAUAAUGGAAGAGGAAGACGUCUGAGCUAAGCGCUGUCCUCGCACCCUCCGUCAAGUUUACGUUUGCGGCCAUAUCAAAAUACACACUGUAUGUUUAUUAGGGUUCCGUACCAAAAAGGUACAAAAGGAACCCUUAUGGUGCUAUUGCUAAAUAUCUCGAGAAGUACUUAAGCUAUAGAUGUGAAAUUUGGAAUAGUAAUGAAUAACGCUGACCCAAACAUAUUGGAUGUGUAUUUAUUUUAUUUGAUUUGGAUUAAUGGAAAAUUCCCAAUAUGAAGAGGGGGCAAAAUUUCAAAGUCUAGUUAAAUGGGUCAAGUGGGGUAUCAUUUGAAAGAGCUCGAAUUGAAAAUUACAAAACAAUUUUUUAUUUUCAUAGUAAAAAAAAUUUGACUUAUGAAGGAAUAUGUGAAAAAUAAUACCAUUCCCCCCACUCUUAUCUCCGAAGUUUAAGAAUAAAAAUUGUUUUUUUUAUAUUGGUCAAGUCUUUCAUGAGAAAAUUUAAAGUUUGUACGGAACCCUCGGUAAACGAACUCGCACUUGACCGGUUUUUCUUAUUGCCCAUAAGGCCCGUCCUUAGAUAUAUGUCAAUGAUUACGGUGAUCUCGAAAAUGGCUCAAAUGAUUUCAAUUAAAUUUGCUAUAUGGGGGUUUUCGGGGCGUUUUUGAGUUUUUACCUAUUUGUUUUCCGAGCAAAAGGAAUUAAAGCUUACUGAUUUUAAAAA